RNAcentral lists this ribosomal RNA (84 nucleotides) under Borreliella afzelii. Lineage: Bacteria; Pseudomonadati; Spirochaetota; Spirochaetia; Spirochaetales; Borreliaceae. The record is from RNAcentral.
UCCUGUUAUCAUCCGAACACAGAAGUUAAGCUCUUAUUCGCUGAUGGUACUGCGAGUUCGCGGGAGAGUAAGUUAUUGCCAGGG